This 4953-nucleotide long non-coding RNA is filed under the name Triticum aestivum (bread wheat). RNAcentral describes it as "long non-coding RNA (TAES_LNC012846)". Lineage: Eukaryota; Viridiplantae; Streptophyta; Magnoliopsida; Poales; Poaceae. The record is from RNAcentral.
ACUUUUUUUUAUUUUCAAAUUUCUGAAUUAUUUUAACCUCUAAUCUCUAAUCACCACCCCUCAUCACUGCUCAAUUUAUCCUCUAAUCUCUAAUCACCCCUCAUCAUUCCAAAUCAUCUAACUUCCCGGACGGUCACCCAUCCUCUCACUACUCCAGCCUGAGCACGCUUAACUUCCGGGUUCUAUUCUCCCUCGUUUCCAAGUCUGCACUUGUUGUUUUCCUGACAAUAGUAAGAUGUCAAUUCUAUUAACCCUCAGGAAUUUAGCUUGAGCAUGAAGUGACACAUUUCACUGUUUGAGUUUGAAACUAUUGUUUUAAAAAACAAUAAUUAUUUAGUAACACUAAUAUUUCUGAAUAAUUAGUUUGACCAUUGUUUGACCACUGUUUGACCACAGUUUGACCAGAUUUGACCAAAAUUCAAAAAAACUGAAAUAAUUAUUUAAUAACACUAAUAUUCUAGAAUAAUUAGUUUGACCAUUGUUUAACCACAGUUUGACCACAAUUUGAAUUUUUUGCCUCUCCAGAUCUUAAAAGCUCCGUAACUUUUUUCUAUUAGGUUUUUGCCUGUGGGGCCUACUGGGCCUUCUGCGGGCCUGAAUCCUGGCCCAUGGAUGGGUUUCAAGUCAUAUUCAGGCCGUGGUGGCCCAGUAGGUGGCAUAAUUUUUUUCCCUGUUUUUUGUUUUCUCUUCUGCUUUAUUUAUUUUGUUUUGUUUCUACUUACAACAAAAAACUUAUUUAUUUUAUUCCAUUUUGUUUCUAAUUACUUAUGUAUUUUACUUUAUUUAUUUUAUUUAUAUUUAUUUUACUGCUGCUAUUUUUAUUUAUUUUACUGCAGCUAUUUUUAUUUAUUUUAUUAAGGUUUAUUUAUUUUAUUUACUAUAGUUUAUUUUAUUUUAUUUUAUUAAGGUUUAUUUAUUUUAUUAAGGUUUAUUUAUUUUAUUUACUAUAAAAAAAUGAACAUAGAUGCGCCUAUAGAGAAAAUUCACCCUAAAUUCAUAAUAAAUUUCUAUGAAAUUCAAAGAAAUUUACUCUGAAUUUAGGUCAAAUUCCCUGUAUAAGGGCAUCUAUUUUCACUUUGAGAGGAGCUCAACAAGGCAGAGAGGGACGGGCUUAUAAACCGGUGUGAGCGCCCUUCGGUUGGCGAGGUGGGACUAAACUCUAACCGCAACUAGGACCAACCCUUUAGUCCCGGUUUGUGGUAUGAACCGGGACUAAAGGGUGAGCCUCUGGUCCCGGUUCAAGCCACCAACCGGGACCAAUGGUGGUGGGCCAGGAGCGAGGCCCAUUGGUCCCGGUUUGUCCCACCAACCGGGACCAAAGGGGCCGGACGAAUCGGGACCAAUGCCCCCGCGAGGCCCGGCAGGCCCCUGGCCGCACGAACCAGGACCAAUGCUCACAUUAGUCCCGGUUCGUGACUGAACCGGGACUAAUGUGAAUAUUGCCCAGUGACCAAAGCCCAGUUUUCUACUAGUGAAUUAAGAUUUAACCUUCUCCAUCGUUGUUGUGCUUCAGUUGACAUUUACUCCAUUUUAACAAAAAACAUGUUUUCAUAUGAAUAUUAACUAAGAUACAUUGGAUCGAAUAAGCUUGAGACAAACACGAACAAUGAAGAGCGCUGGCAAAAUAUCUCUCUCCUAUUUUGAAUUUUUAUACCUAGUCCAUCAAUAUUAUAUUUUCCUUAUGAACAAUAAAGAGGUAGAAGUGAUCAAAUUUGACAUAAAUUGCUCAGAAGCGCAAAAGUCAUAGAGGUAGAAGUCGAAUGUUGGCUCGGGCCACAAUAAAUUGCAGAAACACAAGGACUUGCAUAUUGGCCCAAUACUAUCCAUUUAAUAGACAAAUGAUUUCCAUAUUUCUCUCGUUGUAGCUACAAGCCCGAGGGAGCUAUUUCUCGCUUAUAGCAAGAUGUAUGAGCUUUUCCAUGCGCGCUACAUUAAUGAGUCGACCCGUUUUCUAUCAUUUGUUCAUUGGCUUUGUUCCCUUCGGUUUUAUGCCUUUUCGUUAUUCUUUUGUUUCUUCAGUUUUAUUUCAUUGAUACUCGGUUUUAUCGGUUUCCUCUGAUUUUCUUAGUUUUUUGACCGGUUUUCUUUGUUCCUUUGUCAGUGUUCACUAGUUUUCUUCUUUUCUUUCUUUUGGUUUUUUUGUUUCUUUCUUGGUUUUCACUGGUUCUUUCUUUUAUUUCAUGUUUUCUUUAUUUUUUCUUCAGGUUUCUUUGUCUGUUUUGGAUUUCAUCGGUUUUCUUUGUUUCCUCCUCGGUUUCACUGAUUUCCAUUCUUUUGCACUAUUUUUUAUUAGGUUUCCUUUGUUUCCUUUUGGCUUUCAUUCACUUUGUUUGUUUUCUCUGCUUUCUUUUUUUUGGUUCAAUCAUUUUGUUCUCAUGUCAUAUGGAGCAGGAACCUUUCUUGAUACACAAUUCACAGUUAUUCAAAUAAAUGUUUUUUUGUACACAUUGAACAUUUUUUCAAAUACAUGAUUAACAUGGUUUUUCAAGAUAAAUGUUUGAUUUCAACUUUGUUCAUACACAUUCUACGUUUUCCGCAUACAUCUGAAACAUUUAACAUUUUCAAAUACAUAAUUAACAUAUUUUGAAAAUUAUAUUUUAUCUACUUUUGCCUACACAUUCAACAUUUCUAUAUACAUCAAGAACAUCUUUUGUACACAUAACGUUUUCCAAAUACAUUAACAUUUGUUCAAUGCAUGAUUAACACUUUUUUCAUAUAUAUGUUUUGAUGUCUAUUUUUGCCCAUACACACAGUACAUUUUUUAUUAACAUUAGGCACAUUUUUAUUAACUUUUAACAUUUGAAAUACAUGAUUACUUUUUCUUCAUUUUUUAAUGUCUAUUUUUUCAUACACAUUAUAAAAUUUUCAUAUACAUUAGAAAAAUGUUACUAUAAACAUUUAAGAUUUUCCAAAUGCAUGAUUAAUAUUUUGACUUAUAUAAAAUGAUUUUAUAAUAUAUUUAUAAUACUUCUGAAUUUAAGAAAAAGUAAAAACAUCAAGAAAAAAAAUGUAAAAACAAACAAAAAAGAGAAGAAGGCUGAAGCCCUGUGGUACCUGUUGGACUGGUCCAUUCUGGCAGCUUCGUCGCGUGAUUUCGCUACGUCACGCUGUCAGGGACACAUAGGGGUUCUACGCAAGAGCUAUAUCUUGCCUUAAGCGAUAUGGAAGGAGCUCUCGCUAAAGGUUGUGAUUAUACGGGAUGGUUCUAUUAGCCUAGGUUCGAUCGAUUCACUCCCUACGACUCACUGUACGUUUCCUAGCUCUAGGUUUUCUGCGGAUUUUUUCUUUUUCUUGUUUUUUUGGUUCCUUCUGUUUUUAUCUGUUUUCUUUGGUGUGUCUUUUUUCUUUGUUAUAACUUCAGUUUUUCACCGCUUUUAUUUGCUUCUUUCUCUGCUUUCAUAGACUUUUUUCUUCCUUUUUUUCUAUGGUUUUCUUUGUUUCUUUCCUGGGUUUUUUUAUAUCUACGUUUCUUCUUUGGUUUAAUUUUUUAUUUCCCGGUUUUCACUGGGUUUUUUCUUUUCCUUAUUUUUCUUCCAUUUUAUUUGGUUUCUUUGAUUGUUUUGGUUUUUUUAUAGUUUUCUCAUGUUUUCUUUGGUUUUUUAUCAUUAUCCAUUUUUUUUGUUCUUCUUUCAUUUUUAUUUUGUUUCUUUUUGUUUGUUUCAUGGUAUUUAUCCUUUUUAUUUUUUUCUCAUUUUCCUUCUAUUUUAUUUCUUAGGUUUCAAAGUUUUUUGUUUCACUUUGUUUCUUUAUUGGUUUUCAAUAUUUCCUCAUUUUUUCUUCGCUUUUGACAUUUGUUUCUUUUUUUAUUUUUAUUUCUUUGCUUUUCUUUGUUUACUAUGGUUUUUGUUGUACAUAUUUUGUAUAUGUCAACAAUAUUUUUCUAAUGCAUGUGCAACAAUUUUCCAGUACAAGUUUAACAUUUUUCUAGUACAAGUUUAACAUUUUUGUAGUCCCUGGUCAACAAUUUUUCUAUACACAUUUUUAAUAUUUUUCAAAUGAUGGAUUAAUAUUUUUCAAACCCAACAUUAAUGUUUUUUAAAUAUAUGGUCAAUAUUUUUCCUAUGCACACUUUAAAAAAAAAUCAAAUGCUUGAUUAACAAUUUUCAAAUACAAGAUUAACAUUAUCUAAUACAUGGCCAACUUUUUUGAAUUACACUAGAACAAUGCCCAUGCGUUGCAAUGGAUAUAAAUAUUGUAGUACGUUCGCUCAUAAUAGGCGAUUAAGUAAAUAAAUGUCCAUCAAAUUUUGUCCAUGAUAUACCUUAUAUUCUGAUCAGAAUUGAUUUCUCUGCCCAUAAUAUGUGAUUGUGUAAAUAAAUGUUAGCAAAUUCUGCCCUUGAUUUACCUAUAUUUUGAUCAGAAGUGAUUUACCUGCCCAUAGUAUGUGAUUGUGUAAUAAUUUUUUAUGAAAUUUUGUCCGUGAUUUACCUUAUAUAUUUUGAUCAGAUGGUUGGUAAGUAAAAUAAAGUGGAAUUUGCUCAGAAGGUAAGUAAAUUAAGGCGAUUGAUUAUUAUAUGGGGAAAGUUGGACGAACGGGUGGUGGGAAGAAAGGUGAAACAGAAACCUUGUGUUUUUUAAAUAUUGGAGAUAUAACAUUAUUUUAAUGCUUGAUUAAUAUUUAUUAAAUGCAAUAUUAACAUUUUUAACACAUGACCAACAUUUUUUCUAAACACAUUUAACAUUUCUAAAAUGAUUGAUUUACAUUUUUCAAAUACAUGUUCAAAUUUCUGAAUUAUUUUAACCUCUAAUCUCUAAUCACCACCCCUCAUCACUGCUCAAUUUAUCCUCUAAUCUCUAAUCACCCCUCAUCAUUCCAAAUCAUCUAACUUCUCGGACGGUCACCCAUCCUCUCACUACUCCAGCCUGAGCACGCUUAACUUCCGGGUUCUAUUCUCUCUCGUUUCCAAGUCUGCACUUGUUGUUUUCCUGACAAUAGUAAGAUGUCAAUUCUAU